Molecule: ribosomal RNA, 608 nt
Filed under: Hepatozoon canis
Lineage: Eukaryota; Apicomplexa; Hepatozoidae
Description: SSU rRNA
Rfam family: Eukaryotic small subunit ribosomal RNA
Source: RNAcentral
AUGCAUGCUUUUACAGUAUGAAAAUUGGUGAUUUAUAAUAACUUAGCAAAUCGCAUAGUGAAAACAGGCGAUAAAUCAUUCAAGUUUCUGACCUAUCAGCUUUCGACGGUAUGGUAUUGGCUUACCGUGGCAGUGACGGUUAACGGGGGAUUAGGGUUCGAUUCCGGAGAGGGAGCCUGAGAAACGGCUACCACAUCUAAGGAAGGCAGCAGGCGCGCAAAUUACCCAAUUCUAACAGUUUGAGAGAGGUAGUAACAAGAAAUAACAAUACAAGGCAGUUAAAAUGCUUUGUAAUUGGAAUGAUAGAAAUUUAAACCCUUUUUAAAGUAUCAAUUGGAGGGCAAGUCUGGUGCCAGCAGCCGCGGUAAUUCCAGCUCCAAUAGCGUAUAUUAAAAUUGUUGCAGUUAAAAAGCUCGUAGUUGAAGUUCUGCUAAAAGUAACCGGUCUGCUUUGAAUAAAAGUGGUAUCUUGGUAUGUAUUUAGCAAUGAUGUCCUUUGAAGUGUUUUUUACUUUAUUGUAAUAAAGCAUAUUCAGGACUUUUACUUUGAGAAAAUUAGAGUGUUUCUAGCAGGCCAACGCUUUGAAUACUGCAGCAUGGAAUAAUAAG